CCUACGGUGUGCUGCAGUGGGGAAUAUUGGACAAUGGGCGAAAGCCUGAUCCAGCCAUGCCGCGUGUGUGAAGAAGGCCUUCGGGUUGUAAAGCACUUUCAGUGGGGAAGAAAGCCUUGGGGCUAAUACCCUCGAGGAAGGACAUCACCCACAGAAGAAGCACCGGCUAACUCCGUGCCAGCAGCCGCGGUAAUACGGAGGGUGCGAGCGUUAAUCGGAAUUACUGGGCGUAAAGCGCGCGUAGGCGGUCUGAUAAGCCGGUUGUGAAAGCCCCGGGCUCAACCUGGGAACGGCAUCCGGAACUGUCAGGCUAGAGUGCAGGAGAGGAAGGUAGAAUUCCCGGUGUAGCGGGGAAAUGCGUAGAGAUCGGGAGGAAUACCAGUGGCGAAGGCGGCCUUCUGGACUGACACUGACGCUGAGGUGCGAAAGCGUGGGUAGCAAACAGGAUUAGAUACCCGUGUAGUC
This 465-nucleotide ribosomal RNA is filed under the name Vreelandella stevensii. RNAcentral describes it as "partial 16S ribosomal RNA". It matches the Rfam family "Bacterial small subunit ribosomal RNA", at positions 338 to 795 of the family's 1533-position model. Lineage: Bacteria; Pseudomonadati; Pseudomonadota; Gammaproteobacteria; Oceanospirillales; Halomonadaceae. The record is from RNAcentral.